GGGGGACGAAUUAAGACAUUGCCCAAACUCUCAACAUCUGGAAACUUCUCCAUCCUCCUCCAUAAAGUGAAUAAAUCUGAUCUGGGUCUGUACCGCUGUGAACUGUUUAAUGAAACCAACUGCAGCAUCGGUUAUCAGGAAAUCCAACUUGGUCUUUCUACUGUUUGUCCUUAUUUCUACCAGACCUCCAUCAUAGCAGGAACAUCGGGAGGAGCAGUUCUUCUUCUGCUCAUAAUAUUACUCUUCUACAUCAGGAAAAAACGUGAGUCUUCUUUCAGCAUAUUUUAUUAUUUAAUCUGCCGUAUUUACACAACUAAUAC
Molecule: long non-coding RNA, 320 nt
Filed under: Astyanax mexicanus (Mexican tetra)
Lineage: Eukaryota; Metazoa; Chordata; Actinopteri; Characiformes; Acestrorhamphidae
Description: lncRNA (ENSAMXG00005005844.1)
Source: RNAcentral